UUCUGGCUCAGGACGAACGCUGGCGGCGUGCUUAACACAUGCAAGUCGAGCGGGAAACUUCGGUUCCAGCGGCGGACGGGUGAGUAACACGUGGGCAACCUGCCUCACAAUGAGGGAUAGCCUUCCGAAAGGAAGAUUAAUACCUCAUAACACAAGAGAAACGCAUGUUUCUCUUGCCAAAGAAUUUCGUUGUGAGAUGGGCCCGCGGCGCAUUAGCUUGUUGGUGAGGUAACGGCUCACCAAGGCUUCGAUGCGUAGCCGACCUGAGAGGGUGAUCGGCCACAUUGGAACUGAGACACGGUCCAGACUCCUACGGGAGGCAGCAGUGGGGAAUAUUGCACAAUGGAGGAAACUCUGAUGCAGCAAACCGCCGCGUGAGUGAUGAAGGUCUUCGGAUUGUAAAGCUCUGUCUUCUGGGACGAUAAUGACGGUACCAGAGGAGGAAGCCACGGCUAACUACGUGCCAGCCGCUGC
This 474-nucleotide ribosomal RNA is filed under the name uncultured bacterium. Its description in RNAcentral is "bacterial SSU rRNA". It matches the Rfam family "Bacterial small subunit ribosomal RNA", at positions 17 to 518 of the family's 1533-position model. The record is from RNAcentral.